UCUGAUAUUAGCAAUGACACAU
This 22-nucleotide microRNA is filed under the name Callorhinchus milii (elephant shark). Its description in RNAcentral is "eshark_NOVEL_244". The record is from RNAcentral. Lineage: Eukaryota; Metazoa; Chordata; Chondrichthyes; Chimaeriformes; Callorhinchidae.